Pseudopipra pipra is the source of this 4738-nucleotide long non-coding RNA. RefSeq lists it as uncharacterized. Lineage: Eukaryota; Metazoa; Chordata; Aves; Passeriformes; Pipridae. The transcript has 2 exons. The record is from RefSeq and is a predicted model, not a curated record.
AUGUGGCUUUUUGUUUAAUUCGAGAUUUUAGAGAGAUGUUAACCACAUCCUGAAGUGGCUUCACAAUGUCGGGGAGCAGAGGAGGCAGGAGUCAUAGAGACCUAUAAAACCUGCUGCUGCUGGAAAUGUUCUCACGUCUUCUCCAGUCUUAGCAGGGCACCUGGUUUACGGGGAAACAUGCCUCUAUUGUGUUAAGCAGGACUGCAGGGGGUGAGGAUGGAGCUGGCGGCCACACGACCCGCACCCCAGGGCUGCCCGCGGCCGGGGCCGUCCGAGCGGGACGGCGGAGACCCCCUGGGCAUGGGGGCUGAGACCGGGCCUCCAGGGUCUCCAAAGGGGGAAUCUCGCCAGAGCUGACAGGGUGGCUAAAGGGAAAGCGGGACGGCAGGUGAGGUCCCGCUCGCCUCCCGGCCAGCACCUCCGUGCCCCGCUAAAUCACCCUACCCCGCCCUCAACUUAAUGACACAAAUCCGGGCUCUUAAAGUCUUUGCGACUGAUCGUACUUGCUCAUUUAUAAAUAAUGAUCUCCAUAUAGAUGCAUAACAACAACAUACCAGAAGUGUUUGGGGAGAAAUCCGAUUAAAGUCUAUAGCUUUUUUUCCCCCCUCUCUCCCGGAGCAAAAGUCUUUCUACAGGUCAGCUGCCGCAGCCGGCCCAGACUGCGGGGUUAAAGGGAAGAAAAGGCUCCAGGCGGGCCACUUCCCUCCCGGGCGACAGGAGGGGGCUGCCACCGCACGGCGGGCCCUGCCGGGGGGCGGCCCAGCGGCCCCCUCCGCCCACCCGGCCUGGGGGGAGGCUCGGCCGGGUAUUUUGGGGGGAGGCAGCCGCCGCACUGGCUGGAGCGUGAACUCUGCGGCCGAGACCGAUUUCCCCCCGGCGCCAGCAUCCCCGGGCAGAGUCGUGGGGCCGCCCCGCUCCGCCUGGACCGGCCCGGCCUCGGGUGGCGGUGACGCAGAAACGUGCUUUCCUUUCCUCUUUCGGGCGAUUUAGGGGACUAGAAAAACAAACAUCGGGCCGUUUCAUGAAACGGUGGAGAAAACUCCGAAGGGAAAGAGAGCGGGGCACAUCCUUUUAGAGGAAGGACAAGGGUUCUCUAAGGAGGGAAAACAAAAGAUGACAGUGGUGGCUGUAACCCCACCAUGAACCAAGGACCUCCUGGCCACGCUCGGAGAGCUAACCUCUCCGGACUUCCCAUUACCUCUCCAUGACACUUCACUAAUGCUCACACAAUGGCCAACUGAGCAGUUUAAGUAAAGAUAUUUUAACCUGAACUAAACAUUGUCUCCAGACAAUAGGAUGCAAAGCAACAUCUGGUACCACAGAUAAACAAUGCUGUGCAACAGCAUAUGCUCGACGUCUGGAAGUUUAUGUCAACGCUAAGCAGUUGAGGAGGCUGUCGCUGCUCGGCAUGAAAUCAUAAUAAAUGGCUGUUUGCUGUACUUCCUAGAUGAGCAUCUAGGAUCUCUCCUCUCAGGGCAUCCUCUUCAGGUUAAGAUUGCUCAGCAAGACAUCUUCGGACCCCAUCCGCGCCUCUUCCCUCCCGCCCUCGGAGCAAACCACUAGUGAGAAAUACCACGGGGAGAGCCCGUGGACCGGCCUAGAGAAAACACCGGGUUACCACUUCCCCACUGUGGCUCCGGCGGGCACUGCUCGGCCGCCGGCGCCGGUGGAAGCGACCGAUGAUGAAUGGCCAACUUCAGGGAAGCGCUUCUUUAAAGAGGAGGCUCUAGGCUAAUGAAACAACGGGAGGUGACUAUUGCAAACAGCUGUUCCUCAUACAUAUUUCAUUAUACAAUCAGAUAAUGCGUCUUACCACCUUCUCAAUUAUUCACAGAUAAACAUUUUCAAGACGUUUUGACAUCUGUCUUAGGGCCUGCUAUUAAUUUAGUAAUCACUAUGGUUAAAAAUGCAUGGGGACUGCACCUCACAAAAACUCGGAUUUCACUUACGAGAACAACUACCGUAAGAGCCCUCACCCCAAGAUGGGGGGACCACACGAUCUUCGCCCUGAAGCCCUCGGGCUGCCGCUCCGGGGGGGCUGCGCUGGCCCCGCCGACCGUUCCUGUGUGCCCGGGGCUGUGCAGCGCCGGGCCCCUCCCGGCGCCCUCCGGAGCUCCCGGGGAAAAGCGAUGGGCGGAGGAGGCCGAGCGGGGAAAGAAGCGACACUUUUCCUCCCUAGCAAGCCAGGCAAACACCCAGAAAAGUCGUGCCUGUCUCUUCCGUUGGGCUCUUGGCACAGGCGCUCCCGCUUCUGUCCGCAGGCAAAGGGCGCUCACCUCGGGCUGCCCCGUAAAAGGACACUUGCCUGCCCGGCCGAGUGAUUCGCCAGUCCUCCACCCAGUGUCCCGGCCGGCCGCCCGGCGUGGCGGGGCCAGCCCGGCCGGGGACAGCGGGGGGACGGUGGCAGCUCCCGUGGUUUCCCUCCCCGCGGAACAAAGCCCGCGGGUUCCCCGGCUGGGCAGCGAGACGUGCUCGUCCUUCCUGAGCGCCGGGAAACUUCUCACAGCAAGUUUGUUUCACUGCGGCCGGCUGGUUGUAAAACCGCAAGGCUUUAGGAAGGCGCAGCGUCUCUUUUGUGUCUCUUUCUUUGCAACAAUCCGUUUUCUUAAAACAAAUCUCAAGCCACCCCCGAAACGCACUUGCACACGCACAGCUACUAGAUGUUACACAUGAACAUUAAAGAGCGAGUUAAACGAGCAAAGAGGAGAAUCAAAUCUCGACAACCCUUUCAGACACUUUAUUGAUUAAAUUAAGCCUCUCAACUCCUCUUUCCUUCCUCCACUUCCCCAGGUUACCUCUUUUUACCAAAAAAUUCACACACAAUCGGCGAUCUUCACGACCUCCUCCACCCCCAUGCCCAGGUAAGUGGAUGAAAACGCUUGCGUACUUUCCCGUCCUGCUGCAUAAGCUCUUGACUACAACUAGUUUCUAGAGCUGCGGUCUGGCCAGUGAUAAGGGGAUUCUGCUUUGCACAAGGCACAGGACCGACGCUUGAGCCAGCAAAACGAGGGAGAAGUGGUAUUUUCAGCCUAUGUCCCUCUCCUCUGCCCGUCCCGCGGGGGCUUGGCCACCCCCGCACCUACUUAUGCCACCCCCGCCCUCCCCUGUGCAAUGACCGCCGCUGCCCUUCGGAGCUCGCACACGGGGGGUCUGCCAGCUACCAAAGCGCUGGCCGUCUCUGCUUGACGCAUCCCGGCAGGUACCCAGCCGCGGAUGGGUGUGCUCUGAAGCCUCAAGGAGAGUCCCAGCCGUGAAUUUCAUUUUAAUCGCACGGCCAAGAAAAGUGCCGACACCAGGGACCGCCGAGUGUGUAAAAGCCUUUCUGCCUCGCAGGUGGCGGAAGGCAGAGGAGGGUUUGGGGAGAGGCAGAAGAGGGGAUGCUCUGUGAAAUGGAAACGAUAAUUCUUAGUGCUCCUUCCAAGUAUUUCCCACAGCUGAAGACCUUGUCUUCCCUUGAAUGCUCUGUAAAUAGCAAAAGGGUUAGUGGUGAGCUCCGAGUCUCUGGUUCGGGUCUACCUGGAACCCAUGAUUUUAAAAUUCAGAAAUAGAGGAAAUCGAGCUGUGAAUGUGCUGAGGGAAGAACCCUUCCAUCUCAGCAGCAUUCAUCAUAUUUUAAAGUGAAGUGUCAAAAGCCCGCUGGAAUCUUUCUGCCAGCGGCUCUUGAAUUGGUCCUGCGCUCGCUCAGAGCCGGUCUGUGCCUACCUGGCUCAUAACUUCAGCUGUCUGAAGUCCUUCUAUAGUUUCAACGCUGUACGAGCAACUGUGGCCCCGCAGAGCCGUCCUGCUUCCCGUUCCCACCCCAGCCUCAAGACGUCCUUCGCCCUAUUGAUGUGUGCUACAGCCAAACAGGGCAAAAAGACGAGAAUUGUAUUCGACAGAUGCUGCUCACUCGUGAAUAACAGGGGAUGCAGAGCUAUGACCUCUCCAUCUGACCUUCAGGAACCGCAGGCUGCAAAACAGGGCAAAUGAAGAAAGAAAAAAAAGAAAACAAGGAAAAGCACAGGAUUACAAUGGAGAUUCGUGCGUAGUGGAGCUGGGCUGGGCUGCCUUUGUUCCGAAAUCCUGAUAAGACUUGAACUUUUAGGACGGCACCGGCUCUGCGGCCCAGGGGAGGAGAGGCUCUGUCCGAAUUCUCUGUGUCUCUGCUGAGAUCACAGUGUUGUUUCGUUCACUUCUGCACCUCUGCAAAAGUUGUUGUCAGGGUUUGGGUGGGGUUGGGGUUUGUGGGGUUUUUUCACAUUAAAAAAAAUUGCGGGAAAACAAGACAAAACAGCGCCGUUGACUAAGCAGCAGGUCUCAGUGAGAGCUGAGGGAGCGGAGAGCUCAGCCGAGUGCAGACCCACAGCUCGGGAAAUCAUUUCCCACGAGGGGCAGACGGGAGACGGGGAUUUGCUUAUUUUGCUCCUCGUUGCCUUCCCAGCACAAACGAGGGGUGCGCGGAGGGACCGAGGCUUAGGGAGUCUUCCCAGUCCCCUCCCUAGCAAGGAGAAGGAUGGGGGAAAUUGGGCGCUCUCGGGCGCUGCCCGGGGGUUUCUGGGGCCCCUGGCAAGGCGAGUGUCGGACCCCGUGACAUUCCGAACUCCCGGGAAUCGUCCCCCGUCCGCACCCUUCCCCAGUGGGCGGGGAGGGGGAGGAUGCUCCAUGAAGUCCCAGAGCAGAAAUCAAUGUUAUAAAGCGCAUCCCCUCAGAGGAAACUGAAAAAGAGGGGGGGGGGAGGGGGGGAAGAAGAGAACAAUAA